Molecule: ribosomal RNA, 522 nt
Filed under: uncultured Glomeraceae
Lineage: Eukaryota; Fungi; Glomeromycota; Glomeromycetes; Glomerales; Glomeraceae
Description: SSU rRNA
Rfam family: Eukaryotic small subunit ribosomal RNA
Source: RNAcentral
AGCAGCCGCGGUAAUUCCAGCUCCAAUAGCGUAUAUUAAAGUUGUUGCAGUUAAAAAGCUCGUAGUUGAACUUCGGGAUCAAUGGAUCGGUCAUGCCAUCGGUAUGUACUGGUCUCAUUGGUUCUCACCUUCUAAGGAACCUUAAUGUCAUUCAUUUGAUGUUUUGGGGAAUUAGGACUGUUACCUUGAAAAAAUUAGAGUGUUUAAAGCAGGCUAACGCUUGAAUACAUUAGCAUGGAAUAAUGAAAUAGGACAUCGCAUUCUAUUUUGUUGGUUUCUAGGAUCGAUGUAAUGAUUAAUAGGGAUAGUUGGGGGCAUUAGUAUUCAAUUGUCAGAGGUGAAAUUCUUGGAUUUAUUGAAGACUAACUACUGCGAAAGCAUUUGCCAAGGAUGUUUUCAUUAAUCAAGAACGAAAGUUAGGGGAUCGAAGACGAUCAGAUACCGUCGUAGUCUUAACCAUAAACUAUGCCGACUAGGGAUCGGAUGAUGUUGAUUUUUUAAUGACUCAUUCGGCACCUUACG